This 253-nucleotide ribosomal RNA is filed under the name uncultured bacterium. RNAcentral's name for it is "partial 16S ribosomal RNA". It matches the Rfam family "Bacterial small subunit ribosomal RNA", at positions 524 to 776 of the family's 1533-position model. The record is from RNAcentral.
GACGUAGGGCGCGAGCGUUGUCCGGAAUUACUGGGCGUAAAGCGCACGUAGGCGGCGAUUCAAGUCAGAGGUGAAAGCCCAGGGCUCAACCCUGGAAUUGCCUUUAAUACUGGCGGCCUUGAGUAUGGCAGAGGUGUGUGGAACUCCGAGUGUAGAGGUGAAAUUCGUAGAUAUUCGGAAGAACACCAGUGGCGAAGGCGACACACUGGGCCAUUACUGACGCUGAGGCGCGAAAGCGUGGGGAGCAAACAGG